This 446-nucleotide ribosomal RNA is filed under the name uncultured bacterium. Its description in RNAcentral is "partial 16S ribosomal RNA". It matches the Rfam family "Bacterial small subunit ribosomal RNA", at positions 338 to 795 of the family's 1533-position model. The record is from RNAcentral.
CCUACGGGUGGCAGCAGUCGAGAAUCAUGCACAAUGGGGGAAACCCUGAUGCUGCGACGCCGCGUGAGUGAAUGAAGUUCUUCGGAUUGUAAACCCCUGUCAUGUGGGAGCAAAUUACGACGGUAGUACCACACCAGGCAGCGCCGGCUAACGAUGUGCCAGCAGCCGCGGUACUACAGAGGUCUCAAGCGUUGUUAGUCAUCACUCGUCGUAAGGCGUGCGUAGGUUGUGUCGUAAGUCGGGUGUGAAAGGCGCGGGCUCAACCCGCGGACGGCACAUGCUACUGGGAGACGAGAGUGAAGGAGGGGGAAGCGGAAUUCUCGGUGUAGCAGUGAAAUGCGUAGAUAUCGAGAGGAACACUCGGGGCGAAGGCGGGUUCCUGGACAGUAACUGACGCUGAGGCACGAAGGCGAGGGGAGCGAACGGGAUUAGAUACCCCUGUAGUC